This is a long non-coding RNA of Mesocricetus auratus (golden hamster), 2845 nucleotides long. RefSeq lists it as uncharacterized. NCBI's taxonomy places the organism in Eukaryota, Metazoa, Chordata, Mammalia, Rodentia, Cricetidae. The record is from RefSeq and is a predicted model, not a curated record. The transcript is spliced from 2 exons.
CGCGCCGCCCGGGCGCCGCGUGGGUCGGACGUCUCGGAGGCGGGACGAGCGCGAGGGGGCGUGGUCCGGAGUGUGCCCAGGUGGGAGGGGCGGGGCCGGCCGCCACCCUGGAGCUACGUUUGACAGUGUCUUCCCCGGAGGUGAAAAAGUCCCUGGAAAGUCACCAGCCAGCCCUGUCUUCCUCGCCUCCCCAGGUCUCCUUUUCUCCUUAGUCUUCAAGUUUUUUUUUAAUGCAGUAUCUGAGAUCUAUUUAAAUACCAUCUAGGUUAAUCUAAUGGCAGGUGUUCAACUUUGGAACACCUUACCAUGAUGUCAUCCGGCCCUGUAGUUAUCGAGGUGGACCAUCAUUUCUGGUAGAUCCAGUGGAGGCAGGAAGAUCAAGCAUUCAAGGCCAUCGUCUGCUUCGUGGGGAGUUCAAAGCAACCCUGGACCUCAUGGGACCCUGUCUCAAAUAACUAAAAGAAAAAGUAAAGAAAACAAAAUCAGAGAUUUCCGCUGAGCCAAAAACAGCAUAGCAAAACCCCAUGGAGGCAGCACUGGCAAAGCGGUAGCAGAAUAAGGACAGCGAAGAAAAUCCCCUUGGCUCCGGGAAAUCUGGAAACGGAGCAAGGCUCCACAUACAAAGCAGAUGCUUCUGGCAAAGAAAGAAUGGAUGAAAGAGAAGGGGCCGGCGUGAGCAACUGGAACCAGUUCUGAGAGCCUGGUGUGUUUAAGACAGGUAGCAAUGACCCUCUCUGCUUUGGAAAUCCCAGCUAAACACCCUGUGGAUUUGGGGGUUCCACCCACAGGACCAGUGAAUAUGCUCACUCUCGAGAGAUUGCUCCAGAACUCUACAUGAAGAACCUGUCUCGCCAUAUUUGCCAAAGUCACUCCCUUCCCAAAGCCUAAAAUAUGCUGUAGUGAAAGCCUAUGUGACCUGAGGCGUUCUGAAUCUGGUCUGUGCAAGCACUGAUUGCAUGACAAGAUCAAAAAGAUCAUUUCUCUUAACUCAGAACAUAGUGACAGAUACGCCCUUAUUCAUGAGAUUGCCUGCUGGUGCUGGAUUUCCAGGAGAUGCCAUUGUUCUUUCCUCCUCUGGUGCUAGGCUAUUGCUACCAGGAAAACACUGAAUUUCCUUUCAGAGGUGUGAUUACUUGGCUGCAGAGAUGACUGCACUAGCCAGCUGAUCUAAAUGCUGAACUAGACCCAGAAACCUGAAAGCACAAUCCACUGUAGUAGCAUAUAGUGUUUGGAGCUGCUACUGAGUAUUUUUAGAGGUUCCCUUCUGGUUUAGCAGCCCAAACUGGAAGAGAGGGGUCAAUAGAAAGACAGUAGGUUCUGAUCAUGACAGGCAACUCUUGUCACACUCUAGUUCCAGGGAAAUAUUCCAUUGUUUUCCCAUGUUGACAACCCCCUCUGAAAUCAGAACAUGUUAUGAAGGCAGGAGUCCUGGUUUGUUAUAUCUUCUAUCUCAGGACUUAAUGUUCAUGAAUGAAUGACAAAACCGUUUACACAAGGCUCCCAGAACUCAUGCAGCUGUGGGCCAAGCCAAGAGCCAUUCUGAACCUGGACAUCCCUAGAGCCUUGUUUUUACAGUGACCUGAUGUCACUUGUGUUUGCCCUCAGUGAGUUUUCGCAGUGAGCCUUCCCUCAGUCCCUUCACUGGGCUGCUCCAUCCUGUCAUCUAGACAAUAGAGGAGAAUAUGACAGGUUCAGUUGUAUUUUAAACUGUGUUUGCCUGGCAUGGUGGUACACACCUAUCAUCCUAGCACAGAGGAGGAGGAAUUGAGUCCAAGGUCUUCCUUGGCUGUAUGGGAAGUUUAAGGCCAGCCUGAGAAGAUCAGCACUGCUGCAGUUUUGGCUCAUGGUGCUCCCCAAUACAACUCACAAUUAAGUUAGAACACAAUAACACUCUGGUUAUAUGGCAGUUAAUGAAGUUAGUUGGCUCUAGAGUUAACCUGCCAAGAAUAGAUGUAAUACGUGUUGUUCUUACAUUAAAACAUUGUAAAACCAGUUUACUUUAAAAUGCUGAACCACAGAUGCAUGGGAACACAAUUAUGGGUGUAGAAGCCCAGAGGAUAUACCUCAGAUCUGUCUAACAUUAAAGAUGCCAGCAGUGUUUUCACAUAUGCUGUAGAAUGGGACAAAUAUCCUCUCCCCUGUCUGCCUUUUAAAAGAAGUGAGAAAAACUAAGUUUUAACAUAUAGUUCUAUAUAAAUACUUUGUAUGUGUGGGGUCCUUUAUGUGCAAUGACAAGCACAGCUUUUGUAAGCCAAUUCUUUCUGUCCACCAUGUGCGUUCUGGGGUCAAACUCAGAUCUCUAAGCUUGUCAGCAACCCUUGCCUGCUGAGCGGUCUCCCUGGCCUAAGUUUAUAAUUUUAAAAAGGAAAUGGCAAGCCAUAGAGUAGGAAGUUUUACGAUGAACACAGCAAAAAGAGGAAUCGAGUCCAAAAUGUUUAAGAAUUCCUACAAAUUGUCAGGUAGUGGUGCACAUGCCUUUAAUCCCAACACUCUGGAGGCAGAAGCAGGUGGAUCUGUAUGAGUUUGAGGCCAGCCUGAUCUUCAAAGAUAUUUCCAGGACCAUCUCCAAACCUACAGAGAAAAACAAAAACAAAAAAUUCCUACAAAUAAAUAUGAAAAAGAAAACACAUGCAAAAAAUGGACAAGAGAUUUGAAUGGGAAUUUUGUGAGGAGAAUAUCCGAUGGCCAAUAUACAAAUGACUCUCAGUGCCUUUAGUCACCAGGGAAUGCAAAUGAAAACUGUCCUGAGUUAAUGCCUCCCCCAACAUAAGGGCAGGAACAAGGAACAACUCCAAUUGCUCUUGUGUUAACAGGUUUUCUGUUGCUAUAUAUACAUCUGAGAUGA